AGGGGUGCAGCUCAGUGGUAGAGCGUGUGCUUAGCAUGCACGAGGUCCUGGGUCCCAUCCCCAAUACAUCUG
Molecule: transfer RNA, 72 nt
Filed under: Camelus bactrianus (Bactrian camel)
Lineage: Eukaryota; Metazoa; Chordata; Mammalia; Artiodactyla; Camelidae
Also listed under: 2 other names
Rfam family: tRNA
About the family: Transfer RNA (tRNA) molecules are approximately 80 nucleotides in length.
Source: Rfam by way of RNAcentral